This 589-nucleotide ribosomal RNA is filed under the name Conus magus (magus cone). Its description in RNAcentral is "partial 12S ribosomal RNA". It matches the Rfam family "Microsporidia small subunit ribosomal RNA", at positions 391 to 1205 of the family's 1311-position model. Lineage: Eukaryota; Metazoa; Mollusca; Gastropoda; Neogastropoda; Conidae. The record is from RNAcentral.
UGCCAGCAGUCGCGGUUAAACCAAGAAAUUUAGUCAUUCUUUUACGGUAAAAAGACAGUUAGGCAAAUAUAAGUGAAAUUAUUGGAUCUUUAGUAAAGGAGUAAAAUCUGAAUACUAAAAGUUAUACCAGAUAUAGUUUAUUUAAGAUGUUGAAUCUGUGACAGCUUUAAGGGAAACUGGGAUUGGAUACCCCAUUAUUUUUAGUUAUAAAUUUAGUUUAAGCUUACCAGAGUACUACGAAUAAAAAGUUUAAAACUCAAAGGGCUUGGCGGUGUUUUAGACCUCUCAGGGGAACCUGUCUCAUAAUCGACAAUCCACGUUAAACCUAACCUUUUGUAGUAAUACAGCUUGUAUACCGUCGUCGUCAGGUAACUUCUUAAAAUAUAGUAGUUAGCUUGAUAAUUUGAUUAAUUAAAACGUCAGAUCAAGGUGCAGCUAAUGAAAAGGUGAGGAUGGGUUACAAUUACAUAUUUGUAAAUACGGAAAAAUGCUUGAAAUGAAGUAUCUUAAAGGAGGACUUGAAAGUAAUUUUGAUUAUAUAAGCAGAAUGAAUAAGGCUCUGAAACGUGCACACAUCGCCCGCCGCUCU